CUGCUGUGAACCCCCUCCCCAGGGACCACAGAGCCUCACGAUCCAACCUCAGCCUCACUCUGGGUCCCCCGAACAAGGACUCGAGUUUCCAACACAAAACAGGAGCUCCAUCUCCAGUGGGAUCGCCAGGGCCAAGGUGGCUAGCCUAGAACCAACUGGCCGCCCAGGCCCCCGACUGGCUGGGCCAAGACCGAGGGAAACGGGGCUUCAUUUGAUCCAGGCUCCCCGCCUGCGCUACCGGUUCACAGGCCCGGGGCAGCUCCACCCACCCCGACCCUCACCUCCACCUUCACGAAAGGGGCGCAUCUGAGCUGUGUCGCCUGGACACCUGCACUGGUCAGACCCGGGGAUGCUGACCAGGAGAGGCCCCCUGGGAGCCUCAAAGAGGCCACGGCCCGAGGGUGGAAGUGGAAGGCAGCUCUGAGCCGCUGAGGGCACCAGAAACAGAGGCACAGAGGAUGCCCCCAGCCCAGGCAGGUGUCUCCAGGGCCUUGGGCUUGCGCUGAAGGAGAAGGACGAGAGAACCGGCAGGCCCAGCCCAGCAGAGCCCUCCAGAGGUGGACGCCCAGCGGAUGGACGCGGCGCUCAGCCCGGCUCCGAGGACACCGCUGCUGGACCCGAGGUCGCACAGGGCAGUGCCUUCUGGGGACUGACCAGGCAGCGGGACCGCCCGACUGACCCCUGCCCGGUGCUCCCACCCCAGCCCAGGCCACGGAAAGUCCAGCAGGGAGGCUCGGCCCGACGAGCGGACAGCCACUGCCGAAGGCCCGGCCGGCAGCGGGAGGGGGCAGAGAGCUCCCCGCUCAGCAGAACGCUAGCGGCUACUUUCCAUGGAAAAAAU
Long non-coding RNA from Bos taurus (domestic cattle), 841 nucleotides. NCBI's taxonomy places the organism in Eukaryota, Metazoa, Chordata, Mammalia, Artiodactyla, Bovidae. The record is from Ensembl.